This 399-nucleotide ribosomal RNA is filed under the name uncultured bacterium. Its description in RNAcentral is "bacterial SSU rRNA". It matches the Rfam family "Bacterial small subunit ribosomal RNA", at positions 91 to 525 of the family's 1533-position model. The record is from RNAcentral.
AUUGGGCCCGACCGGGUGAGUAACGCGUGGGAAUCUACCCUUUUCUACGGAAUAACGCAGGGAAACUUGUGCUAAUACCGUAUGAGCCCUUCGGGGGAAAGAUUUAUCGGGAAAGGAUGAGCCCGCGUUGGAUUAGCUAGUUGGUGGGGUAAAGGCCUACCAAGGCUCCGAUCGGUAGCUGGUCUGAGAGGAUGAUCAGCCACACUGGGACUGAGACACGGCCCAGACUCCUACGGGAGGCAGCAGUGGGGAAUAUUGGACAAUGGGCGAAAGCCUGAUCCAGCAAUGCCGCGUGUGUGAAGAAGGUCUUCGGAUUGUAAAGCACUUUCGACGGGGACGAUGAUGACGGUACCCGUAGAAGAAGCCCCGGCUAACUUCGUGCCAGCAGCCGCGGUAAUA